Molecule: long non-coding RNA, 2549 nt
Organism: Orcinus orca (killer whale)
Lineage: Eukaryota; Metazoa; Chordata; Mammalia; Artiodactyla; Delphinidae
Exons: 3
Source: RefSeq, a predicted model, not a curated record
UUCCAGAACAUGUAAAGCAAAUCUAAGACAUCAAGUGAGGUAUUUUGCAACAAAAAAAUUCACUUCGCAGUUAAAAAAAAAAAAGCCUCAUUCUCUCAUGCCUGUGUUAAAGAGGAAGUCAGGAGGGCUGAAUUCCACCCAAGACCCUGGGCCUGGCUCGGGCACAGCCUCCCACGUGUUCUGCAUACAGGGGCUCACAGGGCACCCACCCACGGACUCACACGCUCCGUCACACACAAAUCACCGAGGCCCUGACCACAACGACACGUGCAAAGUGAGGGCCAGCUGUGGGCCCGGCGCAAGGUCAGGUGCUGUGAGGUGGAAGGAAAGGCAACCUAAGGUGAGACAUCUGCCUUCAAGGAAGGGCUAACACACGAGAAAGGCGGAAGAAAACAAUCACCCUUAAUGGAGCGGCACUUACUAGCCUUACUAGCACUUACUAGCCGAGUAGUAAGAGUUCUGAGAACAAAGCGGUAAGUGCGGGAAAGGAGGCUUCGGGGAAGAGUGCAGGCUGCACCCAGGCCUCGCUGAGAGCCGGGCCGUGGUGCGCCCACAAGAGAGGGGCUGAGGCUGGGCCGAGGCAGGUGGGCCUCAGUGCCCGCCACACGCCCUGCCGCCUCCCCUGCCCUGCCUUCCAGGCAGAGCCUGCUGCUCUGAGCGCCGCAUGUGUGCGGAGAGCCGCCCCCAGAGAGGGCACACGCUCCCCGAGCUAGAUGAGUUUUACCUUGAAGUGACAGAAGCUUUCACAGCUCGGUUGAUUUCAGGAGGCAAGUGGAGCCAGAGAGGAAGAGAAGGCAACACUUGCAGCUGUGUCCUGAGCCAGGGACUCUGGUCAACCCACAGUGAUUCAGAAAACGGUCUGAAAGGCCUCUGAGAUGCAGGCAAGUCUCAUGGCUUAGCUUGAAAGAGCUGGGGUAGAAAUAGCAGAGGUGGAAAGACAGAAAGAAAGGAGGAAAAAGGCCAAAGCAAGGACCUCAAAAAGGGAAAAGAAAUCAAGAGAGCUGGCCAGGGUAGGGAAGUGAGCAAGUGUUAUCUAAAGAGACCAUCUGUCCUGGUUUGCCAAGGAUGGAGGGGUGGCCCAGGACUCAGGACUUCCGGGACGAACACCAGGACAACCCCAGGCAAACCGGGACGAGUUGGUCAGCCCAGUGGUAGCAUGUCGAUCGGGGAUGCUAAGGGGUUGCUGACCCCUUGGUGCUCUCCCUCCCUCCUUCGUGGACCUGUCACUGCCCACUGGCACCCCCAGGGCAAUGGGAAGGAUAAGGAGGUCAACAUACGGACGUGACCAUGUGCCUCUCCUUCUAGCUUGAGUCCUCUCAUCUCAACCAUGCAAAUGUCUGAAAGGGUUCAGGCAGCAGAGAAAAUUCUUUACUGUUGUUGUUAAAAUAACACCUAGAAUCACAGCCACUAUCCUUUUCAACUGUUUCUCAGGCAUUGGGCUCACCAGCUGCCCAGCUGGGAGAGGACAUGGCGCUCCGCCCUUAGGGAAAUGCCACAUCUGUACAUGGAAAUCAGAAGCAGCAGAGGGGCUGUCGCACCCAGCUCCUGAACGCACCCCUGUGCAGUCUCCGUCUCCCUCUGCCCUCUCAGAGCUUCAUUUCCCAUCUGCCUCCCCCCAAGGCAGGUCCUGAGGGGGUGAAAUCCACUCACUCAACAAGGACUUACUGAGCAUUUACUGUGUGACAGACACUGUUCGGGACCGUGGAGAACACAAAGAAGUUACGGUUCAGUGGUGGGGGGCAGGGUGGGGCUGGUGUAGAGAAGGGGAGAAUCAUUCAGUAGUCGACACUUAGUCACACUGCCCUUAACAGAUGCCAAGAACUGUACUGGGGGAAUAGAGACAAGUAACCAGACAACUGCAAAACCAUUCUAAGUACAAUGAUGGGGAUGUGGGGGCACCUACCCCAGUUACUGAACCAAAUACCAACCCACCUCACUUUAGCCUGGAGGCUUCUUCCCGAUGUUUACUUAUUCUCUUUCAUGGUAACCACUGAAGAGCCCAGAGGAACAAUACAGAUGCAGAGGACCCCAAAGCCCUAGGGAAUGAAAGAGCCAUAAGAUGGAAUGAGCCUGGGCCUCUGAAUCACUCAUUGGAGGGCUGACCACCAAUCAGGAGCACCUAUGUUGGACUGAGUAAAAAAUAAACCUCUACUGUGUUAAGUUAUAAUUUGGAGUUUUAAUUGUUUCUUCAGCAAGUGUUACUCUAACUAAUACACACAUAUAGAAAAAUUACUGAAAGGUAAACUACCAAAUUUAAUCUGAUGCACUGUACGACAAAGUAUAAGGUAAAUUAUUUUCAAAAGUGUAUUCUUUCCACCACAAACAUGUCUUAUUUUAUAACCAAUAAAAAUAUUAAAAAAUAGGGGGCUUCCCUGGUGGUGCAGUGGUUGAGAGUCCGCCUGUCGAUGCAGGGGACACGGGUUCGUGCCCCGGUCCGGGAGGAUCCCACGUGCCACGGAGCGACUGGGCCCAUGAGCCAUGGCCGCUGAGCCGGCAUGUCUGGAGCCUGUGCUCCACAAUGGGAGAGGCCACAACAGUGAGAGGUCCAC